RNAcentral lists this ribosomal RNA (500 nucleotides) under uncultured Lachnospiraceae bacterium. Its description in RNAcentral is "bacterial SSU rRNA". It matches the Rfam family "Bacterial small subunit ribosomal RNA", at positions 8 to 507 of the family's 1533-position model. The record is from RNAcentral. Lineage: Bacteria; Bacillati; Bacillota; Clostridia; Lachnospirales; Lachnospiraceae.
AGAGUUUUGAUCCUGGACUCAGGAUGAACGCUGGCGGCGUGCUUAACACAUGCAAAGUCGAACGAAGCACUUAGAACGAUUCUUCGGAUGAAGUCUUUGUGACUGAGUGGCGACGGGUGAGUAACGCGUGGGUAACCUGCCUCACGACAGGGGGAUAACAGUUGGAAACGACCGCUAAUACCGCAUAAGCCAACAGGGGCGCAUGCUCUGGUUGGAAAAGAUUUAUCGGUGUGAGAUGGACCCGCGUCUGAUUAGCCAGUUGGCAGGGUAACGGCCUACCAAAGCGACGAUCAGUAGCCGGCCUGAGAGGGUGAACGGCCACAUUGGGACUGAGACACGGCCCAAACUCCUACGGGAGGCAGCAGUGGGGAAUACUGCACAAUGGGGGAAACCCUGAUGCAGCGACGCCGCGUGAGUGAAGAAGUAUUUCGGUAUGUAAAGCUCUAUCAGCAGGGAAGAAAAUGACGGUACCUGACUAAGAAGCCCCGGCUAACUACGUG